Molecule: ribosomal RNA, 494 nt
Filed under: uncultured bacterium
Lineage: Bacteria
Description: bacterial SSU rRNA
Rfam family: Bacterial small subunit ribosomal RNA
Source: RNAcentral
AAAGGAAUUGACGGGGACCCGCACAAGCGGUGGAUGAUGUGGAUUAAUUCGAUGCAACGCGAAAAACCUUACCUACCCUUGACAUGUCUGGAAGAUUCAAGAGAUUGAAUUGUGCUCGCAAGAGAACCGGAACACAGGUGCUGCAUGGCUGUCGUCAGCUCGUGUCGUGAGAUGUUGGGUUAAGUCCCGCAACGAGCGCAACCCUUGCCAUUAGUUGCUACAUUCAGUUGGGCACUCUAAUGGGACUGCCGGUGACAAACCGGAGGAAGGUGGGGAUGACGUCAAGUCCUCAUGGCCCUUAUGGGUAGGGCUUCACACGUCAUACAAUGGUCGGGACAGAGGGUUGCCAAGCCGCGAGGCGGAGCCAAUCUCAGAAACCCGAUCGUAGUCCGGAUCGCAGUCUGCAACUCGACUGCGUGAAGUCGGAAUCGCUAGUAAUCGCGGAUCAGCAUGUCGCGGUGAAUACGUUCCCGGGUCUUGUACACACCGCCCGU